RNAcentral lists this ribosomal RNA (231 nucleotides) under uncultured bacterium. Its description in RNAcentral is "partial 16S ribosomal RNA". It matches the Rfam family "Bacterial small subunit ribosomal RNA", at positions 15 to 237 of the family's 1533-position model. The record is from RNAcentral.
GAUCCUGGCUCAGGAUGAACGCUAGCUACAGGCUUAACACACGCAAGUCGAGGGGCAGCAUGGUCUUAGCUUGCUAAGGCCGAUGGCGACCGGCGCACGGGUGAGUAACGCGUAUCCAACCUGCCUUACACGUCUUGGACAGCCUUCUGAAAGGGAGAUUAAUACAAGAUGUUAUCAUGAGUAAGCAUUUCGCAUGAUUAGAGGUUUACCGGUGUAAGAUGGGGAUGCGUU